UACGGAGGGUGCGAGCGUUGUCCGGAAUCACUGGGCGUAAAGGGCGCGUAGGCGGCUCAUGAAGGCUGUGGUGAAAGUCCGGGGCUCAACCUCGGAUCGGCCGUGGCGACUCGUGGGCUGGAGCACUGUAGAGGCGGGUGGAAUUCCGGGUGUAGCGGUGGAAUGCGUAGAGAUCCGGAAGAACACCGGUGGCGAAGGCGGCCUGCUGGGCUAUGGCUGACACUGAGGCGCGACAGCGUGGGGAGCAAACAGG
Molecule: ribosomal RNA, 253 nt
Filed under: uncultured bacterium
Lineage: Bacteria
Description: partial 16S ribosomal RNA
Rfam family: Bacterial small subunit ribosomal RNA
Source: RNAcentral